CGGACCUUUCGGGGUUAGUGGCGGACGGGUGAGUAACACGUGGGAACGUGCCCUUUGGUUCGGAACAACUCAGGGAAACUUGAGCUAAUACCGGAUGUGCCCUUUUUGGGGAAAGAUUUAUCGCCAUUGGAGCGGCCCGCGUCUGAUUAGCUAGUUGGUGAGGUAAAGGCUCACCAAGGCGACGAUCAGUAGCUGGUCUGAGAGGAUGAUCAGCCACACUGGGACUGAGACACGGCCCAGACUCCUACGGGAGGCAGCAGUUAGGAAUCUUGCGCAAUGGGCGAAAGCCUGACGCAGCCAUGCCGCGUGAAUGAUGAAGGUCUUAGGAUUGUAAAAUUCUUUCAGCGGGGACGAUAAUGACGGUACCCGCAGAAGAAGCUCCGGCUAACUUCGUGCCAGCAGCCGCGGUAAUACGAAGGGGGCUAGCGUUGCUCGGAAUUACUGGGCGUAAAGGGCGCGUAGGCGGACAGUUAAGUCAGAGGUGAAAGCCCAGGGCUCAACCUUGGAACUGCCUUUGAUACUGGCUGUCUAGAGUACGGGAGAGGUGUGUGGAACUCUGAGUGUAGAGGUGAAAUUCGUAGAUAUUCGGAAGAACACCAGUGGCGAAGGCGACACACUGGCCCGUAACUGACGCUGAGGCGCGAAAGCGUGGGGAGC
RNAcentral lists this ribosomal RNA (657 nucleotides) under uncultured Alphaproteobacteria bacterium. Its description in RNAcentral is "bacterial SSU rRNA". It matches the Rfam family "Bacterial small subunit ribosomal RNA", at positions 67 to 769 of the family's 1533-position model. The record is from RNAcentral. Lineage: Bacteria; Pseudomonadati; Pseudomonadota; Alphaproteobacteria.